RNAcentral lists this transfer RNA (74 nucleotides) under Phycisphaerae bacterium. Its description in RNAcentral is "tRNA-Pro". It matches the Rfam family "tRNA". Rfam says of the family: Transfer RNA (tRNA) molecules are approximately 80 nucleotides in length. Their secondary structure includes four short double-helical elements and three loops (D, anti-codon, and T loops). RNAcentral also lists the same sequence under 1 other name. The record is from RNAcentral. Lineage: Bacteria; Pseudomonadati; Planctomycetota; Phycisphaerae.
CGGGCUGUAGCGCAGCUUGGUAGCGCGCUUGACUGGGGGUCAAGAGGUCGACGGUUCGAAUCCGUCCAGCCCGA